CAGCAGCCGCGGGAAAACGGAGGGUGCAAGCGUUAUCCGGAUUUAUUGGGUUUAAAGGGUCCGUAGGCGGACUUAUAAGUCAGUGGUGAAAGCCUGUCGCUUAACGAUAGAACUGCCAUUGAUACUGUAAGUCUUGAGUAUAUUUGAGGUAGCUGGAAUAAGUAGUGUAGCGGUGAAAUGCAUAGAUAUUACUUAGAACACCAAUUGCGAAGGCAGGUUACCAAGAUAUAACUGACGCUGAGGGACGAAAGCGUGGGUAGCGAACAGGAUUAGAUACCCCUGUAGUCCCUGUCUCUUAUAC
RNAcentral lists this ribosomal RNA (301 nucleotides) under uncultured bacterium. RNAcentral describes it as "partial 16S ribosomal RNA". It matches the Rfam family "Bacterial small subunit ribosomal RNA", at positions 509 to 807 of the family's 1533-position model. The record is from RNAcentral.